AGAGUUUGAUCAUGGCUCAGAUUGAACGCUGGCGGCAUGCUUUACACAUGCAAGUCGAACGGGGUGAGGGGGCAACCUCUCAUUCAGUGGCGAACGGGUGAGUAAUGCAUCGGAACGUGUCCCGUAGUGGGGGAUAACGCCGCGAAAGCGGCGCUAAUACCGCAUACGCUCUACGGAGGAAAGCAGGGGAUCGCAAGACCUUGUGCUAGGGGAGCGGCCGAUGUCCGAUUAGCUAGUUGGUGGGGUAAUGGCCUACCAAGGCAACGAUCGGUAGCUGGUCUGAGAGGAUGAUCAGCCACACUGGGACUGAGAUACGGCCCAGACUCCUACGGGAGGCAGCAGCAGGGAAUCUUGCGCAAUGGGCGAAAGCCUGACGCAGCAACGCCGCGUGAGGGAUGAAUGCCUUCGGGUUGUAAACCUCUUUCGAGCAGGGACGAUAAUGACGGUACCUGCAGAAGAAGCUCCGGCCAACUACGUGCCAGCCGCCGCGGUAAUAC
RNAcentral lists this ribosomal RNA (497 nucleotides) under uncultured bacterium. Its description in RNAcentral is "bacterial SSU rRNA". It matches the Rfam family "Bacterial small subunit ribosomal RNA", at positions 8 to 526 of the family's 1533-position model. The record is from RNAcentral.